UUCCGGUUGAUCCCGCCGGAGGUCACUGCUAUCGGGGUUCGAUUAAGCCAUGCGAGUCGAGAGGGUUCGGCCCUCGGCGUACUGCUCAGUAACACGUGGAUAACCUGCCCUAAGGAAGGGAAUACCCCCGGGAAACUGGGGAUAAUGCCCUAUAGGUUACCGAUGCUGGAAUGCUCGGUAACCGAAAGUUCCGGCGCCUUAGGAUGGAUCUGCGGCCGAUUAGGUUGUUGUCGGGGUAACGGCCCAACAAGCCGAUAAUCGGUACGGGUUGUGGGAGCAAGAGCCCGGAGUUGGAUUCUGAGACACGAAUCCAGGCCCUACGGGGCGCAGCAGGCGCGAAAACUUUACAAUGCGGGCAACCGUGAUAAGGGAACCUCGAGUGCCUGUAUAUGCAGGCUGUCCAGGUGUCUAAAACACACCUGAAGAAAGGGCCGGGCAAGACCGGUGCCAGCCGCCGCGGUAAUACCGGCGGCUCGAGUGGUGGCCACUUUUAUUGGGCUUAAAGCGUUCGUAGCUGGGUCGUUAAGUCUCUUGGGAAAUCCGGCAGCUUAACUGUCGGGCGUCUAAGAGAUACUGGCGAUCUUGGAACCGGGAGAGGUGAGGGGUACUUCAGGGGUAGGAGUGAAAUCCUGUAAUCCUUGAGGGACCACCUGUGGCGAAGGCGCCUCACCAGAACGGCUUCGACAGUGAGGGACGAAAGCUGGGGGA
This 708-nucleotide ribosomal RNA is filed under the name methanogenic archaeon CH2. RNAcentral's name for it is "bacterial SSU rRNA". It matches the Rfam family "Archaeal small subunit ribosomal RNA", at positions 1 to 718 of the family's 1478-position model. Lineage: Archaea; Methanobacteriati; Methanobacteriota; Methanomicrobia; Methanomicrobiales. The record is from RNAcentral.